This 798-nucleotide ribosomal RNA is filed under the name uncultured bacterium. Its description in RNAcentral is "bacterial SSU rRNA". It matches the Rfam family "Bacterial small subunit ribosomal RNA", at positions 8 to 796 of the family's 1533-position model. The record is from RNAcentral.
AGAGUUUGAUCCUGGCUCAGAACGAACGCUGGCGGCGUGGAUAAGACAUGCAAGUCGAACGGGACACCAUGAGUAGCAAUACAAGUGGUGUCUAGUGGCGAACGGGUGCGUAACACGUGGAUACAUUCCGGGAAGCGGGGGAUAGCCCAGGGAAACUUGGAUUAAUACCGCAUGUGGUCGAAAGACUAAAGGCAGGGACCGCAAGGCCUGCCACUUCCCGAUUGGUCCGCGGCCUAUCAGCUAGUUGGCGGGGUAAAAGCCCACCAAGGCUACGACGGGUAGCUGGUCUUAGAGGACGACCAGCCACACUGGAACUGAGACACGGUCCAGACACCUACGGGUGGCAGCAGUCGAGAAUCUUUCACAAUGGGGGCAACCCUGAUGGAGCGACGCCGCGUGGAGGAUAAGGUCUUCGGAUUGUAAACUCCUGUCAUGUGUGAACAAGGUUGUCGUGUUAAUAGCAUGGCAAAUUGAUGGUAACACAAGAGGAAGAGACGGCUAACUCUGUGCCAGCAGCCGCGGUAAUACAGAGGUCUCAAGCGUUGUUCGGAAUCACUGGGCGUAAAGGGUGCGUAGGUGGCGUGGUAAGUCAGAUGUGAAAGCCCGGGGCUCAACCUCGGAAUUGCAUCCGAUACUACCAUGCUAGAGUACUGAAGAGGUGACUAGAAUUCUCGGUGUAGCAGUGAAAUGCGUAGAUAUCGAGAGGAAUACCAACGGCGAAGGCAGGUCACUGGGCAGUUACUGACACUGAGGCACGAAGGCCAGGGGAGCAAACGGGAUUAGAUACCCUGGUAGUCC